GAUGAACGCUGGCGGCGUGCCUAAUACAUGCAAGUCGAGCGAACGGACGAGAAGCUUGCUUCUCUGAUGUUAGCGGCGGACGGGUGAGUAACACGUGGAUAACCUACCUAUAAGACUGGGAUAACUUCGGGAAACCGGAGCUAAUACCGGAUAAUAUUUUGAACCGCAUGGUUCAAUAGUGAAAGACGGUUUUGCUGUCACUUAUAGAUGGAUCCGCGCUGCAUUAGCUAGUUGGUAAGGUAACGGCUUACCAAGGCAACGAUGCGUAGCCGACCUGAGAGGGUGAUCGGCCACACUGGAACUGAGACACGGUCCAGACUCCUACGGGAGGCAGCAGUAGGGAAUCUUCCGCAAUGGGCGAAAGCCUGACGGAGCAACGCCGCGUGAGUGAUGAAGGUCUUCGGAUCGUAAAACUCUGUUAUUAGGGAAGAACAUAUGUGUAAGUAACUAUGCACAUCUUGACGGUACCUAAUCAGAAAGCCACGGCUAACUACGUG
This 497-nucleotide ribosomal RNA is filed under the name uncultured bacterium. RNAcentral's name for it is "partial 16S ribosomal RNA". It matches the Rfam family "Bacterial small subunit ribosomal RNA", at positions 28 to 507 of the family's 1533-position model. The record is from RNAcentral.